Molecule: long non-coding RNA, 1524 nt
Filed under: Medicago truncatula (barrel medic)
Lineage: Eukaryota; Viridiplantae; Streptophyta; Magnoliopsida; Fabales; Fabaceae
Description: long non-coding RNA (MTRU_LNC006711)
Source: RNAcentral
UCAAAUAUAUUAGUUAGUAUGACAUUUUAUUUAGGCUUAAUUGAUCUGUCGGUCCAUUAACUUAUUUCUUUUAUUCAAUUUGAUCUCAUAAGUCUUAACUUUCUCAAACACGUCCCUUAACUUAUUUCUUUUAUUCAAUUUGAUCCAAUUUUGAUAAUUUUAAUCUUUUAAAAAAAGAGACCGUUGGAUUACAAAAGUCUAUCAGAUUUUAUAAUGUAUCACCAAUGUCUAAUUUAUUUACUUUCUUCUUCUUCCAUCAUCUUCAUCUUCAUUCGUCCUUCAAUCAUAUUCAUAAAAUCAAAUAAAAAAAUCUAGAUUUAAUUCCAAAUUUUAGAAAAAUCAAAACUCAAUCAAAACUUUAGACCGUAAUUUUGUGCUUCUGAUUUUCUCCAAAUCCUUCUUUCUUCUUCUCCAAAUCUAGAAGAAGAAAAUUACCAUUAUACCCUUAUUUCUUCAUCUCUCCAAAAUCCCAUAGACCGUAUUCUCUUCUUCUCACUAGAACACUAACCAAUAUCUUCUUCUUCAACACUUCUGCAACUUUCCUCCUUUUAAUUCUUCAAAUUUAUUGCUUUUUAUCUCCUUGUAUGUUGCCUUGUUGAUUUCUACUCUGGAUCUACAUCAAAACCCAGUAUUAUUUCCACUCGUCAAAAUUGAAUCUUCAUCAAUUUGAAUCUUCAUCUUCUUCUUCAAUGACUUCCAAUCUGAAUCUUCGUGAAUCUUCAUCAACGAAAACGAAAAUCAGGACAAACGAUUGCAACACGGCGAAUUCGAAAAAUCAUGAAGUAAAAGCGAAAUAGGAGUUCCAGAUUUCAUGAAACGUAAAUCUGUAUUGCAGAAAAUAGGAGUUCCAGCGGUCUCUUUUUAUAGUGUAUCGUAAGUUUAUGAAAGAGUAACUGUUUUGAUUUAUGAAAGAGUAAUUUGUAUAAAAAAAAAACUAAGAUUUUUCCAAUGGAUUCCUUGAUUGAUGAAAAAGUAAUCAAAACCCAUAAUAAUGGUUAAUGGUGUUUUACCCCGUAAUAUAGGUCAUUUUUUGUUUUACCCAUAAUAGGGGGUAAAUCAAAAAAAAUAUUUUACACGGAGAAAACUAAAAAUGACUUAUAUUACAGAGGGUAAAACACCAUUAACCUUAAAAAUAUAUGUAUCGUAAGUUUUAGAUCCAGUGGUGUAAUAGUUUUAUUUAUUUUUUUAUUAACUACUUGAAGAUUAUGGAAAUUUCUGGAUUCAUGAAAGUUAAUGAUUUUUUUUUUUUUUUUUGGUAAAUAUAGGGACUGUGUUUAUGGAGAGUUAUUAUGAUAUUAUUUUGAAUCAAUUUUUGGAUGAGGGGUUUGAUAAUGUAGUUUUUGUUUAAGUUUUUUUUGUAAGAGUUUUUGUUUAAGCUGAAAUGUGAAUUUUUGAAAGAAAAAAAGGUGGGAUUUUUAUUUUAUGUUAUAACGAUGAUGAAGGUUGAAUGAUGAUGAAGAUGGAGGAAGAAGAUGAAGAAAAUAAAUAAAUUAGGUAUUGAUGAUACACUAUAAAAUAUGGUAG